UUGACUCCAUUUACCAAGAUUUGGCGGAUGGGGAACAUUGGUGCAUCGGCGUGGCCCCAAAAAACACAACUUGUUUGGACUGGGGGAGACAGAUUAAGUAAUGCAUUUCCGGUUGAAGUAGAGGUUGGUUAUCACCAUUUUUUUUUUUUGGAUGCAAGGGCUUAAUGUGUACCCCCCACCCCCCGGGUGUUUCUAGUGAAAAUUCUGCAAUUGAUUUUGGAUAUCUCUUGGGCUUUUGAUUUGUCUCUAAAACCCUUAAGUUAUUCUGUGGCAUACAGUAGAAAAUUGCUAGAUGCUGAGACUUCUCUGUUUUAUUCUUUCCUUUGUUAGUUACAAUUUUAGAAUUUGAAUUUUGCAACUAUGUAUUCAUUUUGUGUCAUGAAAUCUCUCACAGCUUUUCUUUUCCUUUUUAUGAUACAUGCUUUCUAAAUUAUUGCUUCUAAUAUUUGCCUUAGAUUAACUUUCUGGAUUUUUUUUAUGAUUUUUAUUCAUUUGCCCAAUCUCAAAGAGCAUCUUCAAUGAACCUAACCUCCCUUAUUAGGCCUUUUCAAUUAUUUUACUUUUAACUCCCCAUGUUUGUUCUAACUAUCAUGAUCCUAAGUUCUAAUUCUUUCUUGAUGAUCUUAGACAAAUAUACUUAGAAGAAUGUCUUGUAUGGGUAUGUUUAUAAAACACACAGAGAGAGGUUUCAUUUUGUUAUUGCUCAUUUUGAAUAUGUGUCUCUGCUAGCAACUUUGACCGAGGUCAAAAUUAUGUGCUCAAGUGAUAUGCAUUUAAAUCUGGAUGAGAAAUAAUUAUAGCAAUAGGCCUGCUAGUAUGAAGCUUGUAAAUACAUGGGUCUGCAAGCUAUAUCUAGUAUAGAUGUUUGUAUAGGGCCGAUCUACUUUUUAGCAUUUGUUAGUUAUUUUUCUACAUCUGUUAUUCAUUAUACUAUCUUUCCCCACUCAGUCCCUAUGUCAUCUGAGUUUUUUUUCUCCCUAAUGUUGUUGUGGCAACAUUUCUACAGGCAAAGUACGGGGACAUGCUCAGGCGGUUCAAUGCCCAAAUUGUUGACAAGGAACUGUAUCUUAAUUUUGAUGGACUGAGAGAGAAGAUCUGUUCAUUAUUCAAUUUUGUUCCUGAUACUGAGUUCACACUUACCUAUAUUGAUGAAGAUGGUGAUGUGGUGACGAUUGUUAAUGAUGAUGAUCUGCAUGAUGUGGUAAGGCAGGCCCUGAACCCCUUAAGGAUUACUGUGAAGGUGAACACUGAGCAGAAUGGCAGAGAAUAUGCUCGUUCAAGUGGGAGUUCAACUCCCUUGAGAUUGCCUAGAGUUCAGCAACCCUUCCGAAAGCUGAACGCAAACGUCUCUGAAAUUUUGAAAUCUGUGCCAGAGCCUCUAUGUGAAACUCUCUUGAAGCUUUCAACUGAGUUGUCAUCUAAAACCUCCUCCUCUGCACCAGGUAUUGCCGAGCUUGCUGUAUACUUCUCAAAGAUAGGUUUGUCCUACCUAGAUCAGCUUUCAGAGUCCAAAUCUGAAGUGCAGUCUUGUACACCAAGCGAGGUUCCUGAAAGCUCCUCAGCCGCAAGAGAAACCAAAGAUUUGAAUUCCUCCAAGCCUGAAGAGUGUUCUUUGAGAAUCAAUGAGGGCUUGCCAAAAUUUAAACCUGGGGGAGCCUUGGGAAACAAUGAGCUGAAACCGGGAAAUACAAUUGCAAGUAGCACAGACCCCUUACCUUUGGAAGUACCUGGCCUCAAAGCUGUAGAUGCAGCAAUUGGCUCUCUGAAUUUUGAUGUUGGAUACCCCAACAAUGAAUCUCUGCACGAAUCAUCACACCUGGAUCCUAAACCAAGGGUUGUGGCUGCUACUGUUGAUAAGAAGAAAAAGUUGAAGAAGAUUAUUCAAUGUUACGAAGAGGCUCCUUUGGCAUCAUCUAGUCCGCCACUUGUUGCAAAUGAUGUUCCUAUUCAAAAGGGGGUUGAUAAGCCUAGUGAGCCUCAGGUUGGACCAAAGCCUUCUAAUGUGGGUUCUUCCACUGGUAAUGCUGAUCCUACGAAAUGGGGCCAUCCAGUUGGUGGGAUAAAUUAUUUAGUAGAGAGUGGUUCUGAGAACUCUCCAGUCUCACAGUUUGGUCGUGGUUCUCUUAACAAGUCUCCACUUUUUGGAAUGCCUCUACGAAAUGAUUCAGCUGCCCCCCCAUAUUCCAGCAUCCCACCAUUAAUGAGCAUUAUUCAGAAUGAUGCCUCUGGGAGUAUUGUACAUUUGGGUGUUUCUUGCGAUGGUUGUGGGUCCCAUCCCAUAACUGGACCUAGGUUCAAGUCAAAAGUGUAAGAACUAAGACAGUGACCUUACUAACUUUCUGAUGAAUAUCUACAGAAUCUUUAUAUGUUAAACUGAUCAGUCUUUUAUUGCAGAAAAUAUAACUAUGAUCUGUGCCAAAUCUGUUUUCUUAAAAUGGGAAAUGUUUCUGAUUAUAUUAGAAUUGCUCAUGAGGGGGAUCAUCAGUACCCCACGUCUAUCAAGGAAUUGUAUGGCCAUGUAUGUAAAAUUCAUUGUCCUGUUUGUUUCUUUAUUAAGCAUUUAUCAUAUCUUUUAUUUGUUAAAUUUUAUUGCUCCUGUCUACUCUUAACACAGCAUGCUAAGGACCGGGUGAUCUUCAGUGGUUGCAAUGAUAGAAUGGGUAUAGCAAAGCUAGACAGUCGCUUCAUUCAGGAUGUGAAUAUUUUCGAUGAAACUGUGAUGGCCCCUUUGACUCCAUUUACCAAGAUUUGGCGGAUGGGGAACAUUGGUGCAUCGGCGUGGCCCCAAAAAACACAACUUGUUUGGACUGGGGGAGACAGAUUAAGUAAUGCAUUUCCGGUUGAAGUAGAGGUUGGUUAUCACCAUUUUUUUUUUUGUGCAUGGUUUCUAAUACCAGUUUGUGUAUAAUCAUCUCUUUUAUAUGGUCAGAUUCUUGUAUAAUUUUACACGUGUAUAGCAUUUGGUUUUUUUUGGCGUUUCUCAUAUUUUCUUCUACGUCUUUUUCUUCUAAAUGGUAGCAACUUGUUUGGUUAUGCUUCAUUUUCCGUUUCUACUUUUUGAUACUACUAAUUCUUAUUUCUUUUUGUCUGCAGUGAAGGAUGACACCUUGUCUUUGCAUGUAUCUUCUAUUAGUAUUAGUAGAUUUUUAUAAUAAUUAUCAUCAAAAGAAAAGAUUAAUCCUCGUGAUUUUUUUUCCAUCGCUAGAUUC
RNAcentral lists this long non-coding RNA (3209 nucleotides) under Olea europaea (common olive). RNAcentral describes it as "long non-coding RNA (OEUR_LNC003916)". The record is from RNAcentral. Lineage: Eukaryota; Viridiplantae; Streptophyta; Magnoliopsida; Lamiales; Oleaceae.